UUGGAGGGCAAGUCUGGUGCCAGCAGCCGCGGUAAUUCCAGCUCCAAUAGCGUAUAUUAAAGUUGUUGCAGUUAAAAAGCUCGUAGUUGAAUUUCGGGAUCAGAUUGUCGGUCGUGCCUCGGUACGCACUGGUAUUAUUGGUUCCUACCUUCUGAAGAACCGCGAUGUCAUUAAUUUGGUGUCGUGGGGAAUCAGGACUGUUACUUUGAAAAAAUUAGAGUGUUUAAAGCAGGCUUACGCUUGAAUACAUUAGCAUGGAAUAAUGAAAUAGGACGUUUGAUCCUAUUUUGUUGGUUUCUAGGAUUGACGUAAUGAUUAAUAGGGAUAGUUGGGGGCAUUAGUAUUCAAUUGUCAGAGGUGAGAUUCUUGGAUUUAUUGAAGACUAACUACUGCGAAAGCAUUUGCCAAGGAUGUUUUCAUUAAUCAAGAACGAAAGUUAGGGGAUCGAAGACGAUCAGAUACCGUCGUAGUCUUAACCAUAAACUAUGCCGACUAGGGAUCGGAUGAUGUUAAUUUUUUAAUGACUCAUUCGGCGCCUUACGGGAAACCAAAGUGUUUGGGUUC
This 564-nucleotide ribosomal RNA is filed under the name uncultured Glomeromycotina. Its description in RNAcentral is "SSU rRNA". It matches the Rfam family "Eukaryotic small subunit ribosomal RNA", at positions 548 to 1114 of the family's 1831-position model. Lineage: Eukaryota; Fungi; Glomeromycota. The record is from RNAcentral.